UUACAAUCCCCCACACACUCUCUAGAGCUCCUUUGUUCUUUCGCUUUGGUUUGCUCCUCUCUUAUCCAAUUCCAAUCGAUCGAUCGAUCGAUUGACCGAUUGCUAUGGCAAGCAGCAAGACUCGAUUGGUGUGCCUUGGUUGUGAUGUUUGUGAUGCUCCUGGCGGUGGGAGUGGAGGUCGGGGGGAUCACCAAGGCGGUGGCGCAGCGCUGCCGCAGGGGAUGGUACUGGAAUGGAUCUCGCUGCGUGCAAUGCAAUUGGUACUGGUAUGACAACGGCUGCCAUCGAUGCCAGCGUGGGUGGCGCUGGAAUGGCAGCCGCUGCGUCAAUUAAUGAAAGUUUGUGAGUGAUCUCUGGGGCCUGGAACCAUAGGAGCGAAUGUCGAAUGGGUGAAGAAGUACAUAGAAUAAAACUGUGGCUUCGAAACGAGAAUGUUUUGGAGUCCUAUAGAAUCUUGUGUGAAAUCUAUUCCGAUGUUCAGGCUCUGAGACUAUCAAUGAUAAAUAUGGUCUGUUUUCUGGAAAGUUGUCAGCCACAAUUAAAAGUGUAUUUAUACCUAUAUUACUGCCCUUUAAAGGCUUUUGGGUGAUGUUAACAAGUUUCUGCUAGCAUUGUUUGCAGAUAACUUUGCCGUUUGCUAGACUUGGUCUUAAUUUGGUUUUCUAAAUACAUAGUACUCUCGAUAAUACGGAAGUAAAGCUAUUUGUCCUUCCACAUCGACUUGACAAAGUCUGUCGUAGCUACACUGGUUAGCUAGCUCUGGAGACAUGUCUAUAUUAUAAUGUUGUUAGUGUUAUAUUGAUCGUGAGCCAAGCGUAAUCUUUAGAGAUUAAUAGAGAAAAUAUAUUACGCAGCUCAAACUAUUCUAAUGCCAGUUUUUCUGGCAACGGUGGCAGCCAUUGUCAUAAUAAACCACUGGGAAACAACCAAAUUCCGAUUCUUCCCACGUCAGCGUUUGUGAUCCACUCCCAUUACCAGGAGCACUUGUCCAUCGCCAUUGCUGCCACUCUGCAAGAGAAAAGAACAAAAAACCAUAAUCAAUCAAUACAAGUUUCCUUUCAGAUGAUCUUGGAUUCUUGUUCUUUUCGACUAUAUAGCAAAGCAAGACUCAACUGGUUUGCCUUGGGCUUGUUGCCAUGUUUGUGGCCAUGGGAGUGGACAUGCGAGGAAUCGCAAAGGUUGCUGCCAAGCGCUGCCAGUGGUACUGGUAUGGCAAUGGUUGUCACCGGUGCCCAAAAAGCUGGUAUUGGUAUGGCGGAAGUUGCCACUGAUGCCAGAGCGCCCCUGCUGGAAAAACAGAGAUCUCCGGGAUCAUGGAUAAGCACAAGAAUUAACAGCAUAACUCGUAAGGUUUUUCAUGUUCACCAGGAUCUUCUGAAUAUCUAUGCUGUUGUUUUAGAUCUUGUGUAUUAGAAUUAAAAAAAAAAUUCAUCCAAUGUAAAAAUGUUUUUUGUGUGAUCAGGUCAUUCAGCUUUUCUUGGGUGGCGGUUGUUUCUCUCCUUUUGUCAUGUUGGUGUUGUUAUGUAGCAAACUGAAUAGCAAGAAUAAUUGAUGCCGUAAACACAAAUACCAGUUUACGGCAUCAAUAGUUCUAGUAGAUCUAUACCAGUAUUUUAUUGUUUGGCGGUUUUUGGCCGGCGCCUGAUCUGCAAGCUCCAAAACCCAACCCGAUCAAGCCAAGAAAAAGCAAUAAUUUCAAGAGUAUGUGGCUUUGUCCUAACUAAAUAAUGUACUAGAAGCUCAUAAUAUAGUGGAUACGAACGCAUGUUGUACCAGAGAUCAGGUCAAGUUGUGUUGGAACAAACAUAAAACUACUAAAAAUUGUAUGAUUCAUUGAAAGAGUGAACAGAAGAAUCAUAUUCUUAUCAAUAUUUCUUCUUUCUGCUCCAAGUAUUAUAGGUCAAGUCGCGGAGGUAAUGGAGAAGUUGGUUUGCCACGAGAGACUUUUAAUUCAAAGAGUGUUGGAAACAAAGGUAUGCUCUCGAUCUGCGUCCCAGUGAUCGAUUAGAUCCAAUCUUUUGUUAAAGUAAAUAUAAUAUACGACCAUAAUAUUAACAGACUUCGUCAAAUCGAGAAGGAAGAAAACAAGAUUGGAAAGCUUUUUUUCCAUAUUACCUCGUCGUACUUAGGAAACCAAGUUGUCAACGAAUUUGAUCCUUCCCAAGACCAAGUCUCCAAGUAAAAUCCGCGCGUCAACCGCUGCCAAAAAACCACGAGGAAACUUUCUCGGUUGUUAUAGAGAGACUCCCUCUUCUAUCCAGAGGAUCCGCAAAGACUCGUUGUUCUUUUUACUUGCAGUAGCAGUGUGUUCAGAGGUAGGAUCUGGUCCAGCUACAAUUCGGACUUAUCUAAGUCUUGACGUGUACACAGUAGCACCCAGGAGGUAGUACCCAGGAGGCAGAUUUGAAUCUGAUCUCUUUUCCAGACUAAGUCUAGCUAACACGAUUGCUCGGUCGUUGCAAGGGGCGUAUAUAUAACGCGCCUCACUCGAUCAAGACGAAAUCACCACACUUUCACUUCUCUUAUAAUCCACAGGUUUUACUCUUAGAGUGGCAGCAAUAGCGAUGGACAAAAUUCGUCUGGCUUGCCUUGGGCUUGUUGCCAUGUUUGUGUUGCUCCUGGUAAUGGGAGUGGACGUGGGAGGAAUCGCAAACGCUGCUGCCCAGCGCUGCCAGUCGGGGUGGUAUUGGUAUGACAAUGGUUGCCACCGUUGCCCGAGGGGUUCGAGCUGGCGCAACAAUCGCUGCUGGAGAAACUGAAGCCUCUGCUUUUAAGGGUAAGCGCAAUUCUCAAUUCAACUCGUAAUCUCUAUGAGUGCAUUGCCAGGGUCUGGAAAUAAGAAUAAAAGACACCGGACGGUAACAUGUUUGUGUGGAACAAAUAAAAUUUUUUUUUGUCUUUUUCUUUCUUUUUUUUCUUUUUUGCUUCAUCUCGAGAGUUUUGAGCUCCCGUGGCAAUACUUCCUCAUCGUCUAGCAACCUUUCUUCUUGGUUUACAAACUAGAAAAUUAAGCUUUUUGGAUCAAUGGCUCAUCUUCGUGUUGGGAAUGGAACCCAUGUUAUGAGACAACCACAUGAUUUGCAGCUGGAAGUAACUCGCAUGAUGAAGGCGGCUACGAACGCAUUAUCGAGCAACAUCAGGUUCGAGAUAGUCGGAGGACCUCUUUCUUUUCGAUUCGGUGCCACAGAUAAUCACGCAAGUAGCAGGAUGACUCAUGCCUCGAGGUGAGACAAUCGAUGCUACUGGCUGAUCGCAAAUUGAUCGACCACGUGGUAGAAGUGAUUCCAAACACUCCAGCCAAAUUUUCAUUAAUAUCAUAUAUUAAAUCGACAAUAAGAGCUGAGGGUGUCUAUAUACUCGAGCAACUAUUGCCUGAUAAAUCUAACCAGAAUUAUAUAACAUUAAAAUAGCAUUAAUAAUGAAAUUAACAUUAUAUUAUAGAGAUAUAUGAGUGUAUACUAUUAAGUCGAUGUGGAACGACGAAAAGCGUAUUAGAAAACCAAAUUGUCAAUAAAUCUGAUCCUUCCCAAGACCAACCGAUGAGCCACAAAGUUACCCACAAACAAUGCACGUGGAAACUUGCUUCGUCGCAAGGUGAGUAUAUAGAUACCCCUCUCAGGAGAGGUUUCCACAAUCUCUCUUCUAACAGAUUCAGUGCUCAGAAGAUCUUCGAAGAAGCUCUCUAAUGCUUAUUUGGUUUCUUGUUCUUUUCGCUUGCAAUAGCGGUCCAGCGAUGAGGAAGAGUCAGUUGGUUUGCCUUGGGCUUGUUGCCAUGUUUGUGAUGAUGCUGGCCAUGGGAGUGGAAGGGGGAGGAAAGGUUGCUGCCCAGCGCUGCCAGAGAGGGUGGUACUGGUAUUACAAUGGUUGUCAUGACUGCCCGAAAUGCUGGUAUUCCAAAGCGGCUGGAGCUGGGCCAAUGGCCGCUGCUGGAAAAACUUAGAUAUCCGUAGUCAUGCCAAAAGUCUAUCAACAUCAUAAUUCGGAAGGUUUUGUUUGAAUGAUGUAAGAUCCUCCUAAAUCCUAAUUAGGAUAAAACGAUUGUUUGUGAUCUGUUUAAUUUCAUCUGGAGUAGAUUCUUGUCUCCAGUCACGGAGCUUUUCUUGCGUGGCAAUUCUUUGGUUGUUAUAUAGCAAACAGAACAGCAAGAAUUAUGUUACUGAUCUUUAAGUUUUUUGCGGUAUUUGGCCAGCGCUGGUGUUCGGAUAAGAUAAGAAUUGCCUGGUCUGCAAGCUCCAAAAACCGAUCAAGCCAAGAGAAUCUGGUGUAUGUGGUUUUGUCCUUUAAAGUCCACAGGAAUGUACUAACACGAACGCAUGUUGUACAAGAGAUCAGGCCAAGUUGGAACAAACGUAUUACUAAAAACUAUAUGAUUUAUCGAAAGAGUGAACAGAAUUACAUAGCUAGCCAAUGGUCAUAUUUUUAUUCUUUCGUUGGUCCAAGUCAAACAGUGUAAAAGUCUGUAAAGAAAAAAACACAUUGGUGGCAACACUGCUCUUCUCGACAAGCUCUCACAGCUCUACAGUCGCUUCCAACUGUAACAGCGUAAAUUCCAGCACACCAGACUUUUCAAGGCCUGUGCGAAUGCAUUGAGAAAGAGGUCUCUGGAAACACCUGCAGUAACGAAGUAAUUUAAGACUUUCGUGCGCUACCGUUUAUGAGAAGCACAGCGAGCUCCAUGAGCAGCAAAGGACCCCCUACAAACAAAGACAUUGAGAAGAUGGAAACAAAAACUAAGAGAGAAAUACCUGUGAGAGUGAGCUCAUGCGAGACAAGCACCACAAUCCUUCCACGCAUAAAAUGUAGGCCAUGGGAAGGAGUAUCGCGCCGCUCCCUCACUCACCAAAAGAAGCCCUAGAAAUCCAAAUGCCGCGACCCCCGAGCUUGAGAAGCGAUCGCAAUCCCACCUUGCGCUUGAUCGCUCCUAUUCCCGUCUAAAGAACAAAGAAAAAGAUCUGCAAUCCUGACCGUUCAAACUCAGCGUUGGCGAUUAUGCCAAGUGGCAACCGAUUUUAACAAAUGCAAACCUUAAUUGAGUCUUUUCAAAUGGUGGGCGCGAAUUGUAAUGAAAGACUUUGGCCUGGAGCCGCGCGGUCUUUGUAUCUAUCCACACACUCUCGACGCUAUAUAAACACCACAUCUCUUACAAUCCCCCACACUCUCUCUAGUGCUCCUUUGUUCUUUCGCUUUGGUUUGCUCUUUCUCUCUUCUCCAAUUCCAAUCAAUCAAUCAAUCGAUUGACCGAUUGCUAUGGCAAGCAGCAAGACUCGAUUGGUGUGCCUGGGCCUGGUUGUGAUGUUUGUGAUGCUCCUGGCGGUGGGAGUGGAGGUCGGGGGGAUCACCAAGGCGGUGGCGCAGCGCUGCCGCAGGGGAUGGUACUGGAAUGGAUCUCGCUGCGUGCAAUGCAAUUGGUACUGGUAUGACAACGGCUGCCAUCGAUGCCAGCGUGGGUGGCGCUGGAAUGGCAGCCGCUGCGUCAAUUAAGGAAAGUUUGUGAGUGAUCUCUGGGGCCUGGAACCAUGGGAGCGAAUGUCGAAUGGGUGAAGAAGUACAUAGAAUAAAACUGUGGCUUCGAAACGGGAAUGUUUUGGAGUCCUUGUGUGAAAUCUAUUCCGAUGUUCAGGCUCUGAGAUUAUCAAUGAUAAAUAUGGUGUGUUUUCUGGAAAGUGGUUGUCGCAGUGUAACGUUCGCAAAAUGCAUGCAUUUUUAAUAUAUAACUUUGCAUGCGAUUUCAUAUAUUCAGCCAACAAACUUUCCAACUGUGCAGAGAAUGACCAAGAAAAUCUUAACAUUGACGUACACUAAAAUAGAAAGAAAGCCAAAUAUUGAGAUUGAAGAACAGGUGGUUCUUCAGAAAUCUGGAAUCAAUCUAUGCAUGGAUGUAAAGCGUCCAGCUUUCGGUAACAUUAUAAAUGUAAACACAACAGUUCCAAAAGCAAUAUAAAUAGCUAAGUGUUUUUGUUUUGUCAAUGAAAAGCUGUUUAUUUUGUCCCGAGACUUUGCCAUCCUAGUCUCGACGUGGAACUUAAAAGAAGAUGCAAAAGCUCUGGCAUGUGACACAGUAGUCAGGAGGCAAAUUUGUCAACGAAUCUGAUCUCUUUUACAGACGAAGUCUAGCAGUUUUACCACAUACGGCACAAUUAUACACACGGAAAUUUGCUCGGUCGUUGCAAGGGACGUAUAUGAAACGCCCCUCUCAAUCGAGACGAAAUCAUCAUUCGUCUGGCUUGCCUUGGGCUUGUUGCCGUGUUUGUGUUGCUCCUGGUAAUGGGAGUGGACGUGGGAGGAAUCGCAAACGCUGCUGCCCAGCGAUGCCGGAGAGGGUGGACAAAGGUUGCCACCACUGCCGAAAGGGUUGGAGCUGGCGCAACAAUCGCUGCUGGAGAAACUGAAGUCUCUGCUUUUAAGGGUAAGCGCAAUUCUCAAUUCAACUCGUAAUCUCUAUGAGUGCAUUGCCAGGGUCUGGAAACAAGAAUAAAAGACACCGGACUGAUGUUUGUAUGGAACAAAUAAAAUAUAUUUUUGUGUUUCUCUUUUUUCUGUUUUUUGCUUCAUCUCUGGAGACACUGAAACUUCAGGUUUUAAGGGGUAAGUGCAAUUCUCAAAUCAACUCGUAAUUUCUAUGAUUUCAUCAUGCUGCACUGUCAGGGUCUGGAAACAAGAAUAAAAGACACUUUGUAUCUUGCAGCAAUAAUAACAUACAUAUAAAACUUUGCUUCAUCUCGAGAGUUGUGAGCUCGGGUGGAAUUACUUCGCAAACUUUCUUUGUUUACAAACUAGAAGAUUAAGCCUUUUAGAUCAAUGUCUCAUCUUCGUGUUGGGAAUGGAACCAUGAGAUAAAGCCACCUGAUUUGCUUUACCGAGUAGAGCUUGCAUGAUGAAGCCGGCCACUGCAUUAUCGAGCAACAUUGGGGGACCUCUUUCGUUUCGCUUGGGUGCCACAGAUAAUCACACAGGUAGCAGGAUGACUCAUGCCUGGUAUCACGAGAGACUUUGCAUGAUCCAAGUGGAAGGCAUGCUUUCUAUCUGCUGCGACCCAGCUCCUGCAAAUUGAUCGACCACAUGGUAGAAGUGAUUCCAAACACUCCAACAUUAUUAGUUGAAAUUUCCAUUAAUAUCACAUACUAAAUCGACAAUAAGAGUUCAGGAACCUCUUGAGAGGGUGUCUAUAUACUCGCAACCGAGAAAGCAUUUCCCGAUCUAACUCGUACUUUACAGCAGAAGCAGCAGGGGCGAUGAGCAAGACCCUGAUUUGUUGUUGCACCAAAAAGGUGCAGCAAAUUGACUAACAUUAUAUCAACGGCGCUCGUUUUGGAGCUUACUGCUACGACAGACUUUGUCAAGUCGUUGUGGAAGGACGAAAAGGUUAUUUUUCCGUAUUAUUGAGAGUACUACGUACUUAGAAAAUCAAUUUGUCAACGGAUCUGAUCCUUCCCAAGACCAAGUCUAGCGAACGGCGCGCGUCAACCGAUGGGACACAAAGUUAUCCGCAAACAAUGCACGCGGAAAUUUGCUCGGUCGUUGCAAGGGCGAGUAUAUAGAUACCCCUCUCAAGAGAGGGUUCCACAAUCUCUCUCCUGGCCAUCAUCCUGAUUCAGUGCUCAAAGAUCAGAAGAAGCUCUUUAAUAGUUCUGAUUUGGUUUCUUGUUCUUUUCGUCAGUCAAAGUAUAUAGCAAUGGCGAUGAGCAAGACUCAGCUGGUUUGCCUUGGGCUUGUUUCCAUGUUUGUGAUGAUGCUGGCCAUGGGAGUGGACAUGGGAGGAAUCGCAAAGGUUGCUGCGCAGCGCUGUCCGAUAGGGUGGUACUGGUAUGACAAUGGUUGUCACCCCUGCCUGAAAAACUGGUAUUGGUAUGGCGGAAGCUGCCACCGAUGCCAGAGCGGCUGGAGCUGGCGCAAAGGCCGCUGCUGGAGAAACUGAGGACUUUAAGCCCAAACACACCAAGUAUAAAAAGAUAUGAUGCGAUGUAAAAAUGUUGUUAUUAAACUAUUUAACUCAUCUCGAGAGUUUACUUAGAUUCUUGUCUCCAGGCACUGAGCUUUUCCUGGAUGGCAGUUCUUUCGCUCCUUAUUUCAUGUUGGUGUUGUUACGUAGCAAACGGAACAGCAAGAACAACAGAUGCCGUAAACACAAAGAUCAAUUUACAGCAUCAAUUGUUGUCGUAGAUCUAUACCAGUCUUUUAGUUUUUUGGCGGUGUUUGGCCGGCGCUGGUGUUCGGAUAAGAUAGGAAUUGCCUGGUCUGCAAGUUCCAAAACCCAACCUGAUCAAGCCAAGAAGAAGCAAUAAUUUCGAGAGAGUCUAAAAGUAAUGUAUAUGUUGUACCAGAGAUCAGGCCAAGUUGUGUUGGAACAAACACAAAAUUACUAAAAAUUACAUGAUUCAUCCACAGAGUGAACAGAAGAACACGGCUAGCCAUAUUCUUAUCAAUAUUUCUUCUUUCCAUUGGUCCAAGUCAAGAGCCGCUCAAACAGAAACAAGAGUCUGUACAAAAAUCUCCCUGUAUAUACCGUGUAUACACCGUGGCCACAAGUCUAUUAUAAUUGACUCUACAUGUAAUCUCUUCAUACUUCUCGGCACUAUAAAUGCCUCCUCGGCCUUCAUUGGCAUCAUCCAUCCCAGAAAUCAAAGCUUCUCACAGCAAACUUCUCUCCAAAAUCUUUCUCAUCUCACUCAACUCAAUCAAGAAGAAUUCUUCGCUAAUGGCAAUGGUGGCGAGCUACUCUUCUCGCGUGGCCUUCAUUGGAGUGGUAGUCGUGCUCCUCUUAAUCGGCGUGGACGUUGGCAAUGGCAUCGCAAAGGCCCAGGCACAGAGCUGUCGGUCCGGUUGGCACUGGUCCGGUGGCAAGUGCAUCCAAUGCCCGGCCGGGUGGUACUGGUACAAUAGCAGGUGUAACCAGUGCCUGUCCGGGUGGUACUGGUACAAUGGCAAGUGCAACCAGUGCCAGUCCGGUUGGUACUGGUACAGUGGUAGCUGCCACCAGUGCCAGUCCGGUUGGUACUGGUACAACAACAGUUGCAACCGGUGCCCAUUGGGGCGGAGCUGGACUGGUACUGGCUGCUCCAAGAACUGAGGAAGAAAUUUACCAUUAUUCCACAUGGUAAAAAGAGAUUAUAUGGUGUGUGCUUUGUUCUUUGUUUGUGUGACUGGAUUUCGUUUUUUUACUGUGUGUCGAAGUAAAUAAUGCCAAGGUUGUUUGGCAGAGUUUGAUAUCUUUUGUCUAUUCGCUCUUUAAGAAAUUUACCUUGUUUUAUCCUUCGCGCUCUAAAGACGUAGACGAUAUCUUGGUAAAUAUUUCCAGGGUUUUUCGAUGAUGCUCGUCGAGGAGCGCCACUGGGAAUCCGCGCGGCGCGGCGCGGCGAGCUGGAUGCGCCGGAUCGAGCGCCAGCGAUUGAUUCCCGUGGAAUGCAGGUCCCGGGAGCUCGAUCGGCUAAUGCUGCCGGCAACCCUAGGAGAGGGCGGUGAUUUCAAAUGCGCUUCGCUCAAUCAUUCCACUCGAGAAUCCUCCCGGCGAUGAGCGGACACGAUCGCAGAUCUGGCGCCCAGGUGAGUGGAGUGAAAGCGAGUGCUAUCUAGCCUGGCGCGUCAAAGUACUCGCUUGUCGUCGUGCUCUCCUGCUGUAGGGUUGUGCGCAGUCCUUGGCGAUGGCGCAUCGUCGUAGCUUCCGGGACGCUAUCGAAAUUCUCAAUGGUCUAAUCACCAAGAAGCGUGGAGGAGGGGGAGCAGUGGUGGAUUUGGAUCGUUCGCCAAGCACCCACGAUAGCAGCCGAUGGGAGAACCAUUUCCAGCUCGUUGCUGACCAUCUAAAGGUACCAUUUUUUCUUCGGUUUUUGGUUUCUUCUCGAGCUUUUUUUUUUCCUCCUUCAGUUGCUCGGGUUGGAGGAGCCAGUAUCGAAAUUAAGCGUAAUUCAUGUGGCUGGAACCAAGGGAAAGGUACUCAAAACCAGUUUCUUUCUUUUUGACGAGCCUAGUCUGUGACAGGGUUCUACUUGUGCAUUUGUGGAGAGAAUUUUGCGAGCGUCUGGUUUCCGGACUGCUCUUUUCACCUCGCCUCAUUUGCUAGACAUUAGAGAACGAUUUAGAUUGAACGGGUAAGUGUUGUGAUGGCAUUAUCAAGUUUACAGUGUUCGUUUAAAUCAGGGAGGAGGUCUCCGAGGAGACUUUUAACAAGUAUUUUUGGUGGUGUUGGGAUCAUCUCCAGGUUGGUUAACGCGAUUUGUUCUUUUUAUUUUGUAAUUGAUAGGCAAAUGCAGGCAAAUGAGGCCGAGCAGGGGCUCCCUAUGCCACGUCUCUUUCGGUUCCUCACAAUUUUGGCAUUCAAGAUGUUUACGUCGGAGGAUGUGAGAAAACUAGACUAUGUUUUUUAAUAUUGCUUUACGGCUUAACUCGUGACCAACAGGUUGACGUUGCUAUCUUGGAAGUCGGUUUAGGAGGUCGCUGUGAUGCAACCAAUGUGGUAAGCAGCUCCGCUGCCGAUGAAGUUGACUUGUCCUUUUGUUUCUCAGGUUCGAAAUCCAGCCAUCUGUGGAGUAGCAUCACUCGGCUACGACCAUAUGGAGAUUCUUGGUUUCCUUUUUUUAAUAUCAUCGUUCGCUUGCUGACGUGCUCGUUUGUAGGAAACACACUCGCGGAAAUUGCAACGGAGAAGGCUGGGAUUUUCAAGGUACUUGUAUCUAGAUUUAUCUAUUCUUCUUACGUCUUGGCACCGGUUGAAGGCAGGCGUACCAGCUGUUACAGUGCCACAGCCAGCUGAAGCAUUGGAGGCUCUGAAGAAGCGUGCCUUGGAGCUAAAUGUGGGCAUUGUUUUUGUGUAAAUCUAGGCCGAGCUGACGCAUUCUUUGUGAGCAGAUACCUUUGGAAAUUGCUCCUCCUCUGGAAACUUAUAAUCUGGGAGACUUAAAGCUUGGACUGCAAGGAGAGCAUCAACGGACCAAUGCUGCUCUUGCCGUGAGGCUUUGCAGAGGCUGGGCGGAGAGAUCCGAUCACCAAGAGCACAAAGCAAUCCUGAACGAGGUAAGCGUUUUAAUUGUUCUUUUCUACUUGAGCUCCUUUUCUCGUUGCGAAGGCUCUUGAGCAAGGUCGUUUACCUGAUUCAUACAUUAAGGGGCUCGUUGAAGUGCGGUGGGCAGGAAGAGCAGAGAUUGUCCGUGAGAAGAAGCUAAGCUUCUACCUGGACGGGGCUCAUAGCCCAGAAAGUAUGGAAGCCUGUGCUAAGUGGUUUUCUUCCGCUGCUAGAGCCGACAACAUCCACAAAGAGAAUGAAGAAAUAUCGGCAUUCGAUAUUAAGCAGUUUUACACACCAACUUCGAACUCUAGACAGGUGAAUUUUGUUGAGUUGGCUAACGAUAUCAGCGUUAUUUGUCUGUGUAGAUCUUACUCUUCAAUUGCAUGCCCAAGCGCGAUCCCAACCUUCUAUUCCCACCCUUGCUAGAUAUCUGCAAACAACAAGGUUUUUCGACUUGUUGAAGCAAAGCUCUUUGGCUGAAAGUUCAUGUUUCUUGUUUGUAGAUAUUUCACUCGAGCUGGCGAUAUUCGUACCCCCGUACUCGAGCUACACGUCAAUUGACAACACUCACGAUUCUCCCGUUGAUCCAGAUCUCUCGUGGCAAAAGGUGUUACAGCAGCACUGGGAGUCCUUCAAGGAGAAAGGUAAAAUAUCGAGCUAGUUUUCCAACUGGAACUGCUUGCGAAUUAUCUUGCAGAUUCGAAAGCCGAAGACUAUCGUCGAGAGUUUCUUUCCGGCCUGGAAAACGGCUAUAGCUCAUGCCAUUUUGGAGUUUCCAGUGCAGUGAUGCCAUCGCUACCAGCAGCCAUUGAUUGGCUGCGCUUUUGCUCAGCUCGCCAUCCAAAUCUUCAUCUCCAGGUACUUGGUGAAAACUCUUUAUGGCGUAAGCGGUUGUUUCUCUCUCAGGUUUUGGUGACUGGUUCUUUGUAUUUGGUUGGCGAUGUUUUGCGGCUGCUCAAGUAAAAGCUUGGUGCCUGAAAGAUUCCACGUUUGAUGGCCAAUCUCACCCGUUGGAUCACACUUCCCAUAUGUUGAUAACCCUGGAGGAUUUGGUAGCAUACAAUUUCAACUGGAACCUGCAGAGGUUCUCGGUCCGCGAGGAUGAUGUGUUCUAAAUUCCAUUCUCUCAUCACACUAAUCUUUUUAUAAGAAAGUCUUUCAAGCUGUUCUCACUUGUUGCAUUUCUUCUUGUGGUUUUCGUUGGCUUCUUAAGUUGUGCUAGUGAUAAUUGUGAUGGCUCUUUUUCUUGUGGUUCUGCAAUGUCAAGUUACACCGAUGGAACUAUUUACAAUGGAUAUACUUCUCUCGUUUCUGGUCACUGUACUGCCAUCUUCACUUGUAGUGGAGCCUAUCACAAGCAACAAUUCCCUACACGUUUAUAAUAAUCAGCCUAGUGAAAAAUGUGGGAGUCAUGUAUUUUGUAAGUGCCAGGCUACCCUCAACUAUUCUGGAAAUUGCAGAGACUCUGGGAAUCCUAACUAUGUCUCAAACUAAAGUCUCAAAACUGAAGUCUAAUUUCUGAUAAUAAUAAACUAUAUACUUUUAAUGUUUAUUUAGUAAUUUUGUGUUUAUAAAAAAAUUACUGCAGUAUGUUUCCUUUGCCUUGUUAUAUUCUUUUUGGAUAAAUCAAUUAUCCAGCUAUGAUUCUCAAGCUUUACAAGCUCAACAUCUCUCCUAAGUUUAUUUCUUGGAUAUUACUUCCAUGCAAAUGCGCACCACUUAUCCCACUUGUCAGUACACAAAAAUUUAUAAACAGAUCUAUAUUGUCUAGUAAACUCUAUUGUCACUACUUGGGGUUUGCAAAGCUAGGCUGAUUCGUUGAAAUAUGAGAGCUAGUUUUCUGUAUGCAUAAGCAUGGACAUUUUUACAAAAUUGUCACAGCUCAAAUUCUGAAUAGUAACACGAAAGAGAAAGAACAGUCAAGCUCUCUUGUGACGGUGUAUGAGACUUGUUGUCUAAUAGGAAGGUAUGAAACUCACUGCAACAAAUUGCAGGAAAGUAAAAGAAAUGGCAAAAAGCUCAAGUGGAGAAGAAAACUGCCAUAAGCCAUGGAUCUAUAGGCUGAAAUAUCAAAAUUCAAGUCACAAAAAGAUUUCACAGCAGCAUACCUUUUGCAAGCUGUGCACUGCUACCAUUGCCACGAUGCCUAGCCAGUGCCUUGUCAUCCCCCUCCCUUGCAUUAGCUAGCACAAAACUAGUGCCAGAUCUAUCAUGUAGUGUGCAUGACCUUAAACUGUAAUAGCUAAGUGCUACUCUUAAGCCUGAAAGAACAAAUUGGGCUUGCAGCCAGCCUUCUCCCAAUUCCACUAGAAAUCCUGCCUAGGAACAUGACCGUGAGGCAUUGUGUGGCACAAGACUAUCUAGGUAUGUUGUGUUUCCACAGCCAACCAUGAGCUAUGUUGGGAUCUCUUCAAUCCUCAUUACAAUCUGAGCUCUCACAUGCUCAAACACUCAAGAUCACAUUUCUCUCUUAAGGAACACUCCAAGGACACUUUUGAACACUUUUAAACGCUUUUAAUGACUGUAAGAAAGAGGUGAGGUCCCAUGCUCCCAGCGAAAUCUCCUCAAAUUGAAUCACAAAUCCCAAAUUGCAAAGGAAUAUCCUAAUGAAUCUCUGCUCUUUGCAUUUACCUUUAACAUUUUCUAGACAUUAAUAUGUUACUCAACUCAUAGAUUCUGAUGGAUAUAAAGCCAAUUUUCCCUUGUGCCACCUUUUACUUCUCCUUGUGUCAACUUCUACUUCUCCUUGGAUUUAUUCUUCUUCAAUCCCAUCCCUUAUUGACUUCACCCUAGCUUUUUUCGGCUGUUCUUUUUUGCUGGAUACGUUGAUUGUAUCUCCUUCUGCAUCUUGAGACUCUCUACAUACAUCCUCUUCCUACUAUUUUAUACACAUACCUUGAUUAUUUAAGAUCUUCUAGCUUCAGGGACAAAGUGAAUAUGAUAAACCUCCUUGAGAAGUUCAUUUGGAAGCUUGAUCACCACCAUGCCACAGCCGUCCACCUGCAGUGUUUGUUGUGGAGCCUGGAAAGGCUUAUAGGUGUGAAACACAACCUUCAAGAGUCAUAUGAAAUUAAGCACCACUAUCCAACCAUAACACCUCUAGAGUAGGCACCAAUGAUAAAUAUUAUCAACAACAAGUUGUUUUGAGUAAGUAUAUGCUGAGUGGCAGCCUUUUAUGCAUGGCAUUCAUGCUCCAUAUGUCCUGUCUUUCUAUAAUAAUUGCAAAGACGCUUUUUCUUCUUAGAGAAAUUAUUUUUAGUGUUAUAGAAGAGUUACGAGACCCACAGAAAGUGCCUCCUUUCUUCUACUCCCCAUUUGACAAUUACGUGGCAAGAAACAAUGCUUACUCACGUGCAAUCUGAGGAGAUCCUGAAUUGCUAGCUCAGCAAUCUUGUGCUCUUCCUCUAGAAGAUUAGAGUAGAGCUAGGAUAAAUGAGAGCAUGGAGGAUGAUUAUUAUAACUCUAGGGAGACAGGGAAGCAAGAAAGCUUUUGCAUAGUCAUUUGAGACUACUUUGCCCACUUGCUUGAGCUGUUGCAUGAUGCCCUUGAGCUUCUUGAUGUAUGCUGCCAUUGUCUCACUGGGUUGCAUGUGUAAGGAGAAACACUUUUGGGUGAGAACCAAUUUAGUGUUAGCAGCUUUGGUUGCAAAGACUUGGGAGAAAGAAUCUCAAUUUUCCUUGGUUAAUUUUUCCAGAUCAAGAAGAUGAAUUAAUUCAUCUCCAAAACCUAGUCCAAUCACUGAACAGGUUCAAGUGUCAAGAGGUCUCGCUUCAGUUCCCUUGACCAAGUCCCAGCAAUCUUUAGCCAUCAAAAUUAACUAGACUUGAGCUUCGAUAUAUUGUGAAGUUUUCACUUCUGAACUUCUGGAGCAACUUCUCCCAUCCUGCAUCCCAGCUGCCAGCCAAAGUGACUGCUAGGGUGGUUUAAGCCAUUAGUUUCUAGAGAAAACUGCUAAGGAAAGCGAGGGAGAGGAGGUGGUGGGAAUCUCUAGAAGGGAUGCUUACACCCUGUGCAUACAGAGCGACAAUGAGGGUAGAAGGAUUGGGUUCACAUUGUGCUCACUUGCAUUCUUAGCAAAGAUUGCAAGAGCCCUAGCACGUUCUUUCUCGUUGCAUUGCUAUGUUUACCAGUGUUUCACCAUCAGGAUCAAAACAAACUUAAUACCAUGUAAAUGUCUGGAUUUUUGUAUAUGGAGUGCUCUCUCAACUUUAUUGCUUUGCUGUAGUUAUGUACAUAAUGGUAUGGGUGUGAACUUGGUGCUUGUUUGCUGAUGUGGAGACUUGCUGUCACUCGUCUCCAGCAAGGGAAGGCACAUGGCUCAGCUAUGGUCUUGUCUGGCUUUAUGAUGUCAGAAACUCUCACUGACCAAGGCUAACAUCAGCUUGGAGCAGACCAAUUCAAGUGAAAAGCAUCACUGACGUAAAUUCUUUUUACGUUCAAGCGAUGGCCACAUCUUGCCUUCCCUUCAACAAGGUUCAUCUUCAACACAACUACAUUUAAGGAGUAUCUAGAGCAGCAACAUACAUAUAGAGGUUUUUUGAUCAUUCGGUUCUUACAUUUUCCUUUCCUUUCUAGUCAAACGUUUUGACAUCAAUUUUUUUUACACCAUGCGGAUAUGUGUGCCUCCUGUCCUGGAAAGUCUCAAACAGAGCUUAAGCAGCCAACAAAAGGAUCCAUGCGUUUUUUCACAUCAAAACAUUUCCAACAUUCUGCAGCAAUGAAAUACCUCUUCUUAUUAGUAGAUGGAGUAGCAUACUGCUCCCCACAAAAAGCCAAGGAGAAGAGUGAGCUGGAGCAGCUUCUUCGUGUCUCGAACCAAAUUACCUUAUGACCAGGAAACUAGCUUUGAGCCACUACUCACCAAAGCCCUUCUUUCACAACAUUGUUGCAGAUAGAAAUGAUUUGAGGUGCAAACACCCCAAGACUGCCUUCCGAGCUUGAGGACGAGCUCCCCUAGUGUGUAUAGGUGCCAAGUGAGGAUAUAUUGGGAUAUUCCCUGGAGAUGGUCUUUUUCAGCUCUCAUCUUGGAGAGUCAUCAUCAUGUGCAUAUCCCACCACCCUCUGUGACAAUUUAUGCCGAUGCCUUAAGGAAAAUGCUGAGCGCCACAACUUAUGAAACCACUUUGUCCUUUGAUUUAGUUCGCUCUUCACAAUAUCUUCUUUCCAUUGAGGGGAAUUAUAUGAGAGACUUGGCAAUGCCCACAAUCAUUCACUCAUGACACCAGAUCGUUGAAGUUGAUCUCCUCUAAAAUCCUUCUUGCAUCAUCUAUGUCUGCAUUUGCCUCUGUAAAAAGGUGGUCAUUUCACCAAUUUGAAUGGAAUUGUUUGGGUUAGUACUUAUCCACACUAUGUUUUUCUAAACCCUUCUUCAUAUUUAGAAUACACUAGCAAUCCCUGAAUCGUUCUUAUUCAUUAUCUUUCAUUUCGGCCAUGCAACUCAGGAACACACUGUGAGUUAUAGCCAAAAAUUUGCAAAAGAUCUCCAAAACCACCACACAGAGGAGCUUAUAGCUCUCUGGUUAUGACAUAUCAACGCCAUUAUCGAGGGCAUCAGCCAUACCGUUGCGAUUUCUCCCCACAUCCACUCCCAUGGCCAGCAUCAUCACAACAAACCAUGGCCCCAUGUUCUUCAUGACUUGCUGCAAAAACUAAGAGAAACAAUCUCUAGUAUACUGGAGAGAGGUGGUUUGAUCUGUGAUGCCCAUCAUAUUUAUAGCUCAAGACGCUAGAAUGCUCUUGGGAAGGCAUCUAGAAUAUUUGAAAGCUAGUUGUUCCGUGUUUGUCAAUUCCUUCUCUUUUCUAUAAUGCUGGGUGGGGCAUGCAACACGAAGAAGGAAGUAAAACUGCCACGCAAGAAAAAAUCAGUGGGCAGGCCUGGAGUCAAAAUGAAGUAAACUCUUGAAAUGAAGCUGUGAAUCCAGAUGAGAAAUAGAGAGAACAGACAUUUUUUGUCAAGGCCUGGACAGUUUAUAUAUUAUUGCUGGAUCUCAUGCAAUGCCAUACAGAAAACUAUUCUUCUUUCCAGACCCUGGCACUGCAGAAUGAUGAAUUCAGAGGAACGAUGCUGGGGUUGACCCCUUGAAACGGGAGGUUUCAGUUGUGCCAGCAGCGAUUGUUGCACCAGACCCAACCCCUCUGGCAACGGUGGCAACUGUUGUCAUACCAAUACCACCCCGACUGGCAGCGCUGGGCAGCAGCCUUUGCGAUUCCUCCCACGUCCACGCCCAUGGCCAGCACUAUCACAAACAUGGCAAGCGCCAAAAACACCACCAAGAAAGCCUUGUUCUCCAUGAUUUGCUGCUCAGACUAAGAUCAAGUAGGCUUGUAAAUGCUAGAGUGACUUUGGAGAUAAGGAUUUGAAGGAUUGGAGAAGCAUUAUAGGAAAAAGAAGAAUUGGCAAACACGGAACCACUUUUACUGGACUAACUUUCAAAUAUUCUUCCAGAGAUAAGAAAUAAGCGAAGCCGUCCCAAGACAACUGCCCAGCCACCAUCUAAAUUGUGCUGCCUCGAGCUAUAAAUACGAGCCCCUCCUGCCUCACAGAUCAAACCAUUCCUCUUCUAGCUUUGCCAAAACUUUACAAGAGUUUGAUUCAAAGUUCCAUAGAACUUCCAUGCUAAUAUAAACAUGAACCUAAUACCUUGUCUUCCGUUUCGACCACAGACUCAGUACGGCCGCUUCCAGUCACCCGCAACAUUAAUCAAAGUGGUUCGUCUUUUCUCACUGGCAGGCUCUUGACAAUCUCUUGGGCAUUCUAGAGCAAUCUGCAACAAUUAAUGGAAGUGAUAUCAAUAAUUAUCAAGAUUUUAUUCAUUAAAAUUGUUUUUCUUAUUUAAUUUACUUAUAAUUAUUUUCUGUUAUUCUAUUAAUUAAAUGUUGUACUUGUUGACUCUUUAAAUGGACUCAUGUGACGCAGCUGACAUGAGCACGUAAAGCGCCAGAGUCCCCUGGUUUCAUCUCCAAGAGUUUCUCUGCGGCACGAGCUGCAACAUUGAUGUUCUUGCCGUUACCACGAACUUUGCAAGCGCUGAUGAAGCUCUUCCACGCGAGGAAAUGCGGCUGGAAGGGCAUCACCAGCAGCAGACCUUCGGCCUUGGCAACCAGCCCGGCCCGUCCCAGCACAUCUGCCAUCGCCUGGAAGUGAAUCACAUUUGGAGAAAUACUGUACUCCGCCACCAUAGAUCGAAAGUAGUCGAGUGCCACACGGAGCUUCCCACCGUGAUUGCAAGUCAGGAAAAUCCCCUGGAAACUUAUCUCGUUUCUCGCCUCGCCCUCCAUCGCCAUGCUGCCAGCAAACAUCGCGCGCUGUGGCAUCCGUGCAAACAUCUUCCUGGCUUCUUCGAGGUGGCCGUGGUUGGAGUAGGCCAAGAUCAUGGCAGUCCACACCACGUCAUCGUGAUAAGGAGCUCGAUGGAAGAGAAUGCGAGCUUCUUCGAGCUGGUUUCUCUCGGCCAGUGCGGUGAUCAUUGUCGACCACGAUGCAAUGUUCCUCUGUGGCAUGCCAUCAAACAGAGACCUUGCUUCUUUCAGACUGGACGUUGCUGCUAGCAUUGCGUUCCACGAGCUUAAGUCGCGGUGUGGCAUUUUACUGAAAAGCUCUUUGGCUUUUUCCAUAUGCCCAAGCUGGGCAUAUGCAGUGACAAGAACAGUCCAUCCCAACUCGUUGGUUUCGGGGAUUCUCAUGAACAAAUUUAGCACGUCGUUAAAAAAUCUUUUCUGGAAUACCCAUUAUACAUAACAGUCCAAGAAACUAAGCAUUCCAUCAAAGAUCUGGCUUGCUUGAUCCAUAUGCCCCUUAUGGGCAUAUGCUGUAAGUAGCGAGUUCCAGCAAACUACAUCCCAUUCUAGAACACGAUCAAACAAUGCUUGGCACUCCUCCAAGUUUCCACGGUUUUCAUGAGCCGUGAGAAUAGAGACCCAUGCAAUAAUAUCUCUUUGUGGCAAACAGCUCUUUUGCUUCCUCAAGAUCCGCAUUUUGGGCAUAAAGCGCCAAGCAUCAAGUUCCAGGAGAAUCUGUUGGGCUCAUGGAUGGCUGAUAAACACCUGCCAUGCUCGAUCCCCGCGCUCGCACCUUCCUUAGAGCUGGAUGAGAAGAUUUGCGAGGUACCUGUUGGAUUGGUGGUGAAGGAUGAGCGCGUGGAGCCUGGCGCCAUGACGCAAAUCUCUUUUCUGGAUGCAAGCUGCUGUGAGGAGUUGCGCGUAGUCGUCGUCGAGCGACAAUGCACGCUGCUCUAGAUCAUCCACGGCCUGUUCUAGAGGCUUCAAUUGUUAGCAGCGAAGAGACACGGAAGAACUUUCUAUGUAUUUCAACUGUAUAUGGAUGGUACAUGUACAUGGAAACUACUGCCACGUGGGCAUAAUUACAUGUCACAUCAUCUCUACCUCUAACAUCAAUCGGUACGUCUGCGUGGUAGUGAUUCCUCUCAUCGAUGCUUUUACUGGCGUUUUCCUGGAAUACAGUAAACUCUUUCGACUGACAAAAUAGAGCUUUGAUUUGUCAAUGGCGAAUAAGCGUUUCCAAAGGUGGCAUUUCAUAUUGGAUUUCUGCUGUAAAAAGGAAAUGGUGGUCACAGUGUGUUCCCUCAACUUGUUCUUCAUAUUUAUCACAGUUUGAAUUAUACAUUCAAAAUUGCUAGAUAAUCCCCGAGAGGAAACUUAUGAUCCAUACCAGCGCUAUCCUCUAGGUGAGAUUCCUCCCACAUCCAUGCCCAUGGCAAGCAUUACAAACAUGACGAGCACCUAAAACAACAAUCUUUUUGCUGCUAGUAAGCUUGUUAUAUACUAGGCUCAUAGGGAUGGCAUCAGUUAGUUCUUAUCUCUUUGAGUUCCGUGUUUGGGAAUUUCUUUUCUUUUUUUCUAUAAUGCUGGAAAAAAGAAGAAAUUCCCAAACAUGAAACUUGACGACAGAGUCCCAACACAACUUUAUAGCUGCCUUGAACUAUAAAUAUGAGCCCUUUCUACUGUACAAAUCAAAUUGUGCCAAGAGUGUGAGGAAAAGGGUACAUACUUUGUUUAAUUGACGAUAGUUAAUGUAGAAAUAAAUACUCCUAUCAAGCUUCAUCACAUGAGGUUCAUAUGCCUAAAGAUUGCAUGACUUUUGAAUAACUCCAUUUUCCAACAUCUCCUUGACGUUUGCAUAUAAAAUCUUGAUCUUUUUGGGUAAUUGACAACGAAUAAAAACCUUAAUUGAACAAGCAUCCCCAGUUAGAAUAAGAUGAUAUGUUAUAAUCUUGGCUCUAUAUGAGAAGUCAAAUUCAAAGAAAUUUGCAUACUUCUCCAUGAGUCGGUCAACCAUUGCAAUAUAAAAACCGUCGGAGGGAUUAGAAAAAGAAAGAGAGAAACAUAACAGAAACUUAGGAGAAAGUAAUGGGGAGACAAAAGUGAUGGAAGUAGAGGUAGAAGCAAAAGGACAAAGAUGUAUAAAAGUGAAAGGAAUGGAAAAAAUAUCAAGAAGUAUGAGACAAAAGGGAGAAACUUCAAAUCAUAUUUGGCAUGAUUGUGCCACAACCAAUUCAUACUAAUGAUGAAGUCAAAAGCUUGAUUUAACACCACUUGCAAUGACUAUAACUCAAACUCGAAAUUGCUUACAUGCACAACUAAAUCCGCUUCAUCCCACACACAUACAUGUGUAUGACCAUUGCCAUAAAGAAUGAAAAAUGGUUUUACCACAUGACAUAAUGUAGAUGGCAACGUGUGGCAACAAGUCAAGUAAUAGAAGAUAAACUUGAAUCUAUAUUAACCAACACAAAAAGAAUAAUAAAAGACCUCUUGUUAUAAAAACGAGUUUGGAAAAUAAACAUUGAAUUAAUUGGUGUUAAAUGAACCCCUUAAUGAUACUCCUAAAAGAAAAAUGGAAGGGUUAUUGAUUUAUUUGUGCAAUGUCCCUUUUGUUACUCACAUGACUUUUGUUUUUCAAAUGCAUUUCAGUGUCUAGACCUUUCACUACAGCAGUAUCAACAAAACAUUGUUGAUGCUAAUGUUGCAAAUGUGACUUUAGGUGUCGAAAGUUACAUGUUGGUUAGUCCUUUCAAAUAUUCUUUCCUUACUGCCAUGACAAUAGGAGGUCGGUAUUGUUGGACCCUUUAUUAGUCCUUCUUGUUCAAGUGUUAAUAAACUAAACUUUGCAUUUAUAUUUGGCCGGAUGAGCAUAAGGAUGGAAUUCCUACAUGUCUAUUUAACUAAGUAUAUUUGGCCCGACUUGUUAGUUCUCUUUUGUUCUGUUUUAUAUUAGCUUGACAAGAACCUUCGUGUAUUGGGAUUAGUCCCUCAAUAUUCAUUAAAUGAUAACUUACCGUGUCUGCAAAACACCUUUACUAUCAUGCCCUUUGUAUUAGUCUCAUUUCGGUCCUAAAUGCUAUUUAUAGAAAGUGUCUAGAUUUACUCAUUUGGUAUAGAUUGUCCUAAACAUAAUGGUGUUUAUCCCAUAUCCAAAUUCAUAAUUUAGGGACAUUCCAUAUGUAAUAAGUUUUAAACUUGUCCUAGAGCUUGUCCCAAUCGUCAAUAUUUCCAAAUGCACAUUUGAAGACGUCCGGGAGAAUACUCUAAUCCUCAUAAGUGGUUGUGCUCAAACCAUUGUACCACUUUAGCAUCAUUGGAAACACACAGGAAACUCAUGCAAAUGUCAAAUAUCAUCCCAAUAAUGAUAUGCCCACAGAAGGAACUCUAGCCGAACUCGAGGAUUGGCAGUAAGAGUAAGAAGAAUUGCAAGCUACUAUCAAUUGAGUUUGGUUAUUCAACUACAAUCAUAUAACAUUGAACAAUUGCACCAACUAUUGCUCCAAAAACAAAGGAAGAGGAAAUUGUUACUUUGCCAUGAAGAGAGCAAAAGAAAAGAAAUGGAAAAAGCUAGAAGGAAAAGGAGAUCUAGACAAUGCAAAAGCUAGAUCUAAAAAAAAAGCAAAAGAAAAGAAAUGGAAAAAACUAGAACAAAAGAGAGAUUUAGACAUUUCAAAAACUAAAACAAAAAUCCCAAAUCCAAGCACUCUUUAGGGACAAUCAAAAUUGCCCCUCAUCUCCACCAAUAUGAGUGCAUGGAACAUAGAAAGAAAAUAUAAGAAAUAUACAUAUUAAUUAACCCAGAAACCCUAGUUUAUAUACUGGAGUGAGUGGUCUAGAUUGAAAUCAAUAUGAUAUCUAUCAAAAUCCCACUAUAUUAAUAUUAGUAUACAGUAUUGUAACUAUAUACUUGAACUUCACAAAACAUUUUAUAAAAUUAAUCUAAAUGAGAUGGUAAAAUAUCUGGGUAUAUUCUAGCUAUAUCCACUACCACAAAGGUUUUUUUAAGUAAAACAAAAAUUGAUAAAUUUAAAACCAUGAUUCUAUUUUAUUAAAAGUUACAUUAUAUAAAAUUAACUUUUUAUUAAAGGUUCUUAAUGAAUUGUACCAUAUAUGAGUUGAGACAAUCCCAUGUAAUAAUGAAAGCCCAAUUUUGCCAUCCAUACCAUUUAUCAGUUUGGAAAAAUCUAUAUCUAUUAAAAGUGACUUCUAUAAAAUAAGUUCUAUGUUCUACUUUUAAAAGUUUUAUCAUAAUGCCAAACAAUUGCAUUUCCAUAUUUAUUACAUACUUCAACUUCUGUUGUCAUAUCAGGAGCUCAGUCAUAAUCAUCUAAAUUGUUAGUUUGGUUCAUAUCAAUGGUUAUAUUAGUAUUAUUAUAGAGCUGUGUAUGAAUAAAUAUACUGGAAUAAUUUAAGUGAGACUCCAAGCUAUAAGAAAGCAUGUAAUGAAGUAAUAGAAAUGCUAUGAAUUUUAACAUUUUUGAAACAUACACACAUCUAGAUUUAAUUAGAUGAGUUUUUAUAGUGUCCAUUUUUGUUUUUUACAGCAUAUUGAUUAUAUGGACUAUGAGGUCAAUGUAUGAAGACAAACAGCUAGUAGUUAUUUUAAUUUGUCAGAAAACAUGGAAAGAAUAAUUGCUAAAAUAGCUGUUUGUCAACAUUCUAAUGGUAGCCUCAAAAACCUCUUGAAGUCCUUGCAAUAGUCAUAUAUCAUCCAAUUAUCUUUGACCCAUUAAAGCUUGUGUGUGGUACCCUCAUCCUUAACCAAAAACAUUGGACUUUCCCACCACUUUGGAGGCCUCCUUGUCUUAGUGCAAGAUCUUGGAGAACUCGAUGACCACUUGCAAGCAUCGAUCCCAAACCCCCGAAAAGAUGCCACAAAUGGGGAUUUGUUCCACUUGAUCUUCUCUAAUCCUCCACGAGUAGCCCAAUCGUCCCCAUUCCACAGGCUGGCGUAAACGCCCAUUGGUUUCGUGAGUGGAAAUGGAACGCCAAGCUCCGCCAUCUUGUUGGCAACACGCGGAUUGGCACGUCGUCCACGUAGAGUCUUGUUGUAAUGGCGAGAAAAAAUAAA
RNAcentral lists this long non-coding RNA (23349 nucleotides) under Selaginella moellendorffii. RNAcentral describes it as "long non-coding RNA (SMOE_LNC001882)". Lineage: Eukaryota; Viridiplantae; Streptophyta; Lycopodiopsida; Selaginellales; Selaginellaceae. The record is from RNAcentral.